This 753-nucleotide long non-coding RNA is filed under the name Ananas comosus (pineapple). RNAcentral describes it as "long non-coding RNA (ACOM_LNC037510)". The record is from RNAcentral. Lineage: Eukaryota; Viridiplantae; Streptophyta; Magnoliopsida; Poales; Bromeliaceae.
AGUCACCUUGUCAAGGAUUAGAGGUACUUUUUACAUAUUCCAUGCUGUUCGCUGUUCCAGUCAUCCUAGCUCUCUGUCUGUAUUGGUUUGUCAUAAACCGUCUGCAAUGAACUUAAGUAAAAGAGUAUUUGCUUCUUGCAUGUAGAUGUGAUCUUGGUUAUUAUGUGGUAUUAAUUAGGUCUAGUCUUUGAAUACAUGAGCCUGUGCUGCAAAGUGAAUAUAAGAUGCGUAUGUGGUACGUUUUCUUGUACAAUUGGAGCUUCUUUGUUUAAAUGGUGUUUUGAUGGGUACGUUACAUCGUCUUGCUCGAGUUUGUGUAGCUUGCUGCAGAAUCUUGUCUUGCUGAUUUAGAAAUAAUCAGGAAAUUAAUUCCUCGAGGCAUGUUACAUUUCUAAUUUGCAGUUUUAUUAGCCUAUGGAUAAAUACUGUAAUGUUUGGAAGAAAAAGGAUGCUAUUAGGUGUCAGAAUACAGAAUACAGAAUACAGUGUUAUGAACAAUGCUCUUGUUCGAUAGACGGCUUCGCCGGUACCUCUGGGGCAUUUUCAUGUUCCUGACAUGAGCUAAAUCUACAUCACUAUAUUUGAUGUUAUGUAUAAUAUCAGCUUAUUUGGUAAAAUGCAAGCAACAAUGGAACAAAAUUGUGAUUUUUGAUCAGAUAUGCAGCCAAGGAGAUUAAUUUUGUAGCUAAAAAUUGGUUUAGCAACGAAGUUCCUUGUUUUUCGAAAAGACAGCAGAAAGAAUUUCUGGGCAAG